This 421-nucleotide ribosomal RNA is filed under the name uncultured bacterium. RNAcentral describes it as "bacterial SSU rRNA". It matches the Rfam family "Bacterial small subunit ribosomal RNA", at positions 355 to 774 of the family's 1533-position model. The record is from RNAcentral.
UGAGGAAUAUUGGACAAUGGGUGAGAGCCUGAUCCAGCCAUGCCGCGUGCAGGAAGAAGGCGUUAUGCGUUGUAAACUGCUUUUGCCAGGGGAUAAAACGAGCUUGCGAGCUUAAUUGAAGGUACCUGGUGAAUAAGCCACGGCUAACUACGUGCCAGCAGCCGCGGUAAUACGUAGGUGGCAAGCGUUGUCCGGAUUUAUUGGGUUUAAAGGGUGCGUAGGCGGCCCUGUAAGUCAGUGCUGAAAUAUCCCGGCUUAACCGGGAGGGUGGCAUUGAUACUGCAGGGCUUGAGUACAGGUGAAGUAGGCGGAAUUGACGGUGUAGCGGUGAAAUGCAUAGAUAUCGUCAAGAACACCGAUAGCGAAGGCAGCUUACUAAGCUGUAACUGACGCUGAGGCACGAAAGUGUGGGGAUCAAACA